UACGAAGGGCCCUAGCGUUGCGCGGAAUUAUUGGGCUUAAAGGGUGCGUAGGCGGAGGCGUAAGUGCUUUGUGAAAGCCCACGGCUCAACCGUGGAAUUGCAGGGCAUACUGCGUCUCUUGAGGCCGGUAGGGGUCGCUGGAACUGUAGGUGUAGCGGUGAAAUGCGUAGAUAUCUACAGGAACGCCGAUGGUGAAGACGAGCGACUGGGCCGGUUCUGACGCUGAGGCACGAAAGCGUGGGGAGCAAACAGG
This 253-nucleotide ribosomal RNA is filed under the name uncultured bacterium. RNAcentral's name for it is "partial 16S ribosomal RNA". It matches the Rfam family "Bacterial small subunit ribosomal RNA", at positions 524 to 776 of the family's 1533-position model. The record is from RNAcentral.